RNAcentral lists this unclassified non-coding RNA (221 nucleotides) under Hevea brasiliensis (rubber tree). The record is from RNAcentral. Lineage: Eukaryota; Viridiplantae; Streptophyta; Magnoliopsida; Malpighiales; Euphorbiaceae.
AAUGCGAGGAGGGGGAGAAGGUCCCAGUGCGUGUUAUUAGGACGGGGCUGUCGCCAACUCCGGCGCCGAUGUCAGGUGGAGACCUGCCGGCAUUCCCUUCUCCUGGUUGGGUGUCAAGUACUUCGAGUUCUCCAAGCUUCUCGCCCGAGGGUUCUCCUCUGAAGCCUGGAGAGGGGCUGCCGGCGGCUUCUCCGGCGUCUGGCGGAGGGAUUCCGUUCAUA